Long non-coding RNA from Branchiostoma floridae (Florida lancelet), 202 nucleotides. RefSeq lists it as uncharacterized. The record is from RefSeq and is a predicted model, not a curated record. NCBI's taxonomy places the organism in Eukaryota, Metazoa, Chordata, Leptocardii, Amphioxiformes, Branchiostomatidae. The transcript is spliced from 4 exons.
UACAUCUAGAUGUUACCAGCAAAACGCCGGCGCCUCAUGCGCACUGAGGGAUGAAAACCAAGAGAUGUAUGGUAUUGUGAUGGACAAUGAUGGAGCAGGUGUUUGGGGAAACAUGAAUGGAAAGCUUCAGGGCAAAUUUGUCGGCCACCAGAACAUCACCAUUAUUGUCAAUGGCGCAUUUGGCAGAUCUGAAAGCCUAAGG